Long non-coding RNA from Synchiropus splendidus (mandarinfish), 575 nucleotides. RefSeq lists it as uncharacterized. The record is from RefSeq and is a predicted model, not a curated record. Lineage: Eukaryota; Metazoa; Chordata; Actinopteri; Syngnathiformes; Callionymidae. The transcript has 3 exons.
GCUCUACUCUGAUUUUAUUCUGUAAUAACGAAGACACAAGUCAACAGAUGUAGGAGGUCAUUUAUUGAUGGUGAACAGCUGGAGUGGACUGUGACAUGGAAAUGUCUUUCCCAUAAACAUGUCCGAUGAACCUCUCACUGGAGCUGUGAAGGAUCAGGGCUUGGAUGAAGAGCAUCAGACUGUAUCAGCUGCUUUGUCUUCACCUGCAGAGACAGAUGAAGUCCUCCACCACCAUCUCAGCCCAGGGGAAGGUGCAAAAAUUGUCCGGUCCAUCAUCAGGAUGACGUUUUCCCUCGCCACACCUCGUUCCAACCCCAACUUUAUACAGGAUGUGCUCCAGCUUGAUUUUAUGAUCCACCUCUGGAAGAGGAGAACACACCAAGAGGUCAGUCUCUGUCUCUUCCUCACUGUUCCCAGUGAGUUCAAAUACAUUGGUGGCCACAAUACACAUGGUUUUCAGUCAAACACACACACACUGAGACAAGUGUUCUUACCACACGACAUCUCAGCGGUUGCGUUGUGGCAGGCGUAGAUGACCUCCCCCUCUGGCACACACAUGAUGCAGACACAUUAUU